ACUCUAAUAAAAAACAUGUAAUCGUAUUUAUUUUCCUUCCAUUUUGCCAGAGGCGCUGAUGUCGGCAUUGUGAUUGGUGGAACAUGACUUUUGACAAAUCCUGCGCUAUCUGUGAAUCUGUGUUCAGUGUUCGUGUUCGUUCGUUCGUUGUCGUUCAGUUAUUUUCAUGUUAUUUUAUAUGGUCGGUUAUGUGUUGUGUUUGUGUCACCAUAAAAAGCUGAUAUUCAUGCAGUCGUGUUUUUUGAUAUUUUUGUUAUUUUGUAAUCGUGUAUCUUUUUAAAGGUCUAAUGGCUCCGUUCAGCUGUUGUGUGCAGACGGUGGAAAAGUUCAACAAGUAAACAUUUAUUUAAUCCAAAUUAAAUACUCAUAUUUCUAUGUAAAAUGUCACAUUAUUUUAUAAAUAAAUAAGUAAGAAACAAAA
Molecule: long non-coding RNA, 421 nt
Filed under: Diabrotica virgifera virgifera (western corn rootworm)
Lineage: Eukaryota; Metazoa; Arthropoda; Insecta; Coleoptera; Chrysomelidae
Description: uncharacterized LOC126880695
Source: RNAcentral